AAAUUGAAGAGUUUGAUCAUGGCUCAGAUUGAACGCUGGCGGCAGGCCUAACACAUGCAAGUCGAACGGUAGCACAGAGAGCUUGCUCUCGGGUGACGAGUGGCGGACGGGUGAGUAAUGUCUGGGAAACUGCCCGAUGGAGGGGGAUAACUACUGGAAACGGUAGCUAAUACCGCAUAACGUCGCAAGACCAAAGUGGGGGACCUUCGGGCCUCACACCAUCGGAUGUGCCCAGAUGGGAUUAGCUAGUAGGUGGGGUAACGGCUCACCUAGGCGACGAUCCCUAGCUGGUCUGAGAGGAUGACCAGCCACACUGGAACUGAGACACGGUCCAGACUCCUACGGGAGGCAGCAGUGGGGAAUAUUGCACAAUGGGCGCAAGCCUGAUGCAGCCA
RNAcentral lists this ribosomal RNA (395 nucleotides) under Salmonella enterica. Its description in RNAcentral is "bacterial SSU rRNA". It matches the Rfam family "Bacterial small subunit ribosomal RNA", at positions 1 to 394 of the family's 1533-position model. The record is from RNAcentral. Lineage: Bacteria; Pseudomonadati; Pseudomonadota; Gammaproteobacteria; Enterobacterales; Enterobacteriaceae.